RNAcentral lists this unclassified non-coding RNA (275 nucleotides) under air metagenome. Its description in RNAcentral is "partial contains small subunit ribosomal RNA, internal transcribed spacer 1, and 5.8S ribosomal RNA". The stretch from base 1 to 46 matches the Rfam family "Eukaryotic small subunit ribosomal RNA", at positions 1786 to 1831 of the family's 1831-position model. The record is from RNAcentral.
AAGUCGUAACAAGGUUUCCGUAGGUGAACCUGCGGAAGGAUCAUUACCGAAUUGUCGACACGAGUUGUUGCUGGCCCUCAAACGGGGGCAUGUGCACACUCUGUUUACACAUCCAUUCACACCUGUGCACCCCCUGUAGUUCUGUGGCCUGGGGGACUCCAUCCUCCUGCCGUGGUUCUAUGUCUUUACACACACACUGUAACAAAGUCUUAUGGAAUGCAUACCGCGUUUAACGCAAUACAAUAUAACUUUCAGCAACGGAUCUCUUGGCUCUC